UCCCAAAUAGUUUAGGCGAUUAGGAUACGUGGUUUUCACCCACGCGACCCGGGUUCGAGUCCCGGUUUGGGAA
This 73-nucleotide transfer RNA is filed under the name Phytophthora infestans T30-4. RNAcentral's name for it is "tRNA-Glu for anticodon CUC". It matches the Rfam family "tRNA". From Rfam's summary of the family: Transfer RNA (tRNA) molecules are approximately 80 nucleotides in length. Their secondary structure includes four short double-helical elements and three loops (D, anti-codon, and T loops). The record is from Rfam by way of RNAcentral. Lineage: Eukaryota; Oomycota; Peronosporomycetes; Peronosporales; Peronosporaceae.